GACGAACGCUGGCGGCGCGCCUAACACAUGCAAGUCGAACGAGCGAGAGGAGGUUUACUUUCUCAAGCGAGUGGCGAACGGGUGAGUAACGCGUGAGGAACCUGCCUCAAAGAGGGGGACAACAGUUGGAAACGACUGCUAAUACCGCAUAAGCCCACGACCCGGCAUCGGGUAGAGGGAAAAGGAGCAAUCCGCUUUGAGAUGGCCUCGCGUCCGAUUAGCUAGUUGGUGAGGUAAUGGCCCACCAAGGCGACGAUCGGUAGCCGGACUGAGAGGUUGAACGGCCACAUUGGGACUGAGACACGGCCCAGACUCCUACGGGAGGCAGCAGUGGGGAAUAUUGCACAAUGGGGGAAACCCUGAUGCAGCGACGCCGCGUGGAGGAAGAAGGUCUGCGGAUUGUAAACUCCUGUUGUUGAGGAAGAUAAUGACGGUACUCAACAAGGAAGUGACGGCUAACUACGUG
This 466-nucleotide ribosomal RNA is filed under the name uncultured bacterium. RNAcentral describes it as "partial 16S ribosomal RNA". It matches the Rfam family "Bacterial small subunit ribosomal RNA", at positions 28 to 507 of the family's 1533-position model. The record is from RNAcentral.